GCAAAAAUUAAUCUUUGCCGUGUGGUACGUCGUACAGAAGACGGCAAAGUGUAAAAAACACAGCCAGCGCGCUACCUCUCGCGAGUGAAAAAAGACCACACUGGAUAAAAAAAACACAACCAGCGCCCCUCCCUCUCGCGACUGAAAAUAGCUAGGGUUCCACCGCGAGCCUCCCAGCCGCCGCCGGUGCCCUCCGCCGUCGUGAGCCUCCCACCC
This 216-nucleotide long non-coding RNA is filed under the name Hordeum vulgare. RNAcentral's name for it is "long non-coding RNA (HVUL_LNC015980)". The record is from RNAcentral. Lineage: Eukaryota; Viridiplantae; Streptophyta; Magnoliopsida; Poales; Poaceae.